UACGUAGGGUGCGAGCGUUGUCCGGAAUUAUUGGGCGUAAAGAGCUCGUAGGCGGUGUGUCACGUCGGCCGUGAAAACCUGCAGCUUAACUGUGGGCGUGCGGUCGAUACGGGCAUCACUGGAGUUCGGCAGGGGAGACUGGAAUUCCUGGUGUAGCGGUGAAAUGCGCAGAUAUCAGGAGGAACACCGGUGGCGAAAGCGGCCCUCUGGAACGGUACUGACGCUGAGACGCGAAAGCGUGGGGAGCGAACAGG
This 254-nucleotide ribosomal RNA is filed under the name uncultured bacterium. Its description in RNAcentral is "partial 16S ribosomal RNA". It matches the Rfam family "Bacterial small subunit ribosomal RNA", at positions 524 to 776 of the family's 1533-position model. The record is from RNAcentral.